Molecule: ribosomal RNA, 253 nt
Filed under: uncultured bacterium
Lineage: Bacteria
Description: partial 16S ribosomal RNA
Rfam family: Bacterial small subunit ribosomal RNA
Source: RNAcentral
UACGGAGGGUGCGAGCGUUAAUCGGAAUUACUGGGCGUAAAGCGCGCGUAGGCGGUUUGUUAAGUCAGCUGUGAAAUCCCCCGGCUUAACCUGGGAACUGCGUCUGAUACUGGGAGGCUUGAGUAUGGGAGAGGGAUGUAGAAUUCCAGGUGUAGCGGUGAAAUGCGUAGAUAUCUGGAGGAAUACCGGUGGCGAAGGCGGCAUCCUGGACCAUAACUGACGCUGAGGCGCGAAAGCUAGGGGAGCAAACGGG